GGAUGGGACUUACCCAACCCAAUUAAGAGAUAGGACGGGUAUGGGUUCUAAAAAAAUAUCCGAAGCAGAUUCGAAUCGGAUACGAGUAAUGAUAUGCCCGGCCCUGAACCUGCGUCGAUAAUAUCUCUCUCUCUUUUGUUUAAAUAAAACUUAAAACAUCUCUCUUUCAUUUAAAUAAAACUCAAACAUCCAACUUGGGUCCUCACUCCUCCCCCCCCCCAACCCUAACACCCAAGGGCCAAACCCUAGCAGCAUUAUGACGGCCCGGUAGGUCCCCACUCCCCCAUCUUUAGCGGUGGCUCGGCAGAUUCCCAUUCCCCCCAACUUAGCAACGGCCUAGUGAGGGCUUGGUGGUGGACGAGGAGGAUGCCGAUGGCAGAGAGGAACAGAUGAUGCCGAUGAGAGUUUGCUAGUGCCAGCGAGGGCUUGGUUGUGGACAAGGAAGGUGCCAAUAGUGAAGAGGAAGCAGGAUGGAAUUCGGGAUCAUUUGUUCGGGGGAGGGGGUAGCUAGGGUUCCAACAAAACCCUAGCCAUCAUCUAAGCUUCCCUAUUCAGUUGCUCCAAGCCUUCAGCCGUCCACCUGAUUAAGGUAAGAGUUUUUUCUACAUAGAUUGAUCAUAUUUUUUGUUUUUUGGCUUUACGCUUCUUUUUGAUCAGAGAUUUGAGGGGCUUGGGA
RNAcentral lists this long non-coding RNA (676 nucleotides) under Elaeis guineensis (African oil palm). RNAcentral describes it as "long non-coding RNA (EGUI_LNC011269)". The record is from RNAcentral. Lineage: Eukaryota; Viridiplantae; Streptophyta; Magnoliopsida; Arecales; Arecaceae.